UUAUUAGAUAAAAAGCCAGUUCAUGCUUUUAUAGUAUGAAAAUUGGUGAUUUAUAAUAACUUAGCAAAUCGCAAAGUGAAAACAGGCGAUAAAUCAUUCAAGUUUCUGACCUAUCAGCUUUCGACGGUAUGGUAUUGGCUUACCGUGGCAGUGACGGUUAACGGGGGAUUAGGGUUCGAUUCCGGAGAGGGAGCCUGAGAAACGGCUACCACAUCUAAGGAAGGCAGCAGGCGCGCAAAUUACCCAAUUCUAACAGUUUGAGAGAGGUAGUAACAAGAAAUAACAAUACAAGGCAGUUAAAAUGCUUUGUAAUUGGAAUGAUAGAAAUUUAAACCCUUUUUAAAGUAUCAAUUGGAGGGCAAGUCUGGUGCCAGCAGCCGCGGUAAUUCCAGCUCCAAUAGCGUAUAUUAAAAUUGUUGCAGUUAAAAAGCUCGUAGUUGAAGUUCUGCUGAAAGUAACCGGUCUGCUUUUAAUAAAAGUGGUAUCUUGGUAUGUAUUUAGCAAUGAUGUCCUUUGAAGUGUUUUUUACUUUAUUGUAAUAAAGCAUAUUCAGGACUUUUACUUUGAGAAAAUUAGAGUGUUUCUAGCAGGCUAACGCUUUGAAUACUGCAGCAUGGAAU
This 620-nucleotide ribosomal RNA is filed under the name Hepatozoon canis. Its description in RNAcentral is "bacterial SSU rRNA". It matches the Rfam family "Eukaryotic small subunit ribosomal RNA", at positions 203 to 815 of the family's 1831-position model. The record is from RNAcentral. Lineage: Eukaryota; Apicomplexa; Hepatozoidae.